This 1156-nucleotide long non-coding RNA is filed under the name Anser cygnoides (Swan goose). RNAcentral's name for it is "lncRNA (ENSACDG00005003453.1)". The record is from RNAcentral. Lineage: Eukaryota; Metazoa; Chordata; Aves; Anseriformes; Anatidae.
AUGGAUGUUUUGGGAUCCCAGCUUUGUAAGCAAAACCAUCCAACUGAAACAAAUAUGUGCCUGGACAGGUUCUUCAUCGUACCCUGGAGCCACCUGAACUUAUGGCGAUUCCCAAGGAUUCAUACAGUGAUGCCAACGGUAGGGCUCUUUUCCAGAAGACAUACAAGGGCUCAUGCUGAAGGCUGCACAGUGUUUAGACUUCCUACUCAACCUGACUGCAAGAUAAGAAAGAAGGAAGGAAGCAGAAAUGAUACAGGAGCACGUCUUCAUCUAGAUAAAUUCUCCUGACACCAGUGUGCUGCCUGCAUUCAGGAGGCUGGAAUUUUAUUUUUGGUUAAACAUAAUGAAACUUAGAAUGAUGAAGAGUGAAGAGAGUUAACUGCACAUGGUCUGCUUAUAUUUUGUUGCUUUCCUGUGAACAGCACCCUGCUUAAAUUAACUUAUAUUUUUUAAUUAACACUUUUCUUUCCUAUUUUGUUAGGAAAUUGCUCAGCUUUUACUAGCUGAAAGGUGACUAAUGUCUUUCUGUCCCGAUAUUUCUUCACCAUUGCAGUUCCCUGGAUCCAAUAACAAAAAAUGGUCAGUUGUUUUGCUCUGAAUUUUGUAAAUUCAUUACUUUUUCAAUGUAACUAUCCAAAUGUCUUAAUAGCAUGAAAUCCUUUAUAGAUUUCAGUAAAUACUUUAUGCUGAAAGUGAGUCUUCUACCUUUAUUUGCAUAGAAUGAUGUUGUAACCAUAAGUAAACCAAUAGCAGUAGGCUGCAGUAUGCUAAUGCUUGGCAUGAAAAAAGGUGCAAAAAGCAGGAUGAAUGUGAUUGUAUUUAUUCAGUUACCAUUUUCUUCCUAUGUUCACCUUUAUUGUUUUAGAACCUUUUCCUUCCCUAGCUCUUUCAGCCUUUUCAGUUUAUGAAGUAUGUUUAUCUCCUGGCAAAAAUGUGGAGAGGAAAUCAAAAUGAAUGCCAAGUUUAAAACAAUAUUUUUGGGGAAAAGUUCUUUGAGCUAGCAGACCAGUAGCUGUGAAAGACAGCCCUGAAUAGUUGUAAAACCACACCACACCACUGCAUAUCCAGUUCUUUGGAUGCUUUGAUCAAAAGGAAAAAAUCCUCAUAGAAUAUUUUCUUUUUGAAAAAUAAAUGGAUGAUCAUUAACUGAAGAACA